This 230-nucleotide ribosomal RNA is filed under the name uncultured bacterium. RNAcentral's name for it is "partial 16S ribosomal RNA". It matches the Rfam family "Bacterial small subunit ribosomal RNA", at positions 1273 to 1500 of the family's 1533-position model. The record is from RNAcentral.
UCAAAAAAUAGCGUCCCAGUUCGGAUUGUAGUCUGCAACCCGGCUACAUGAAGCUGGAAUCGCUAGUAAUCGCAGAUCAGAAUGCUGCGGUGAAUACGUUCCCGGGUCUUGUACACACCGCCCGUCACACCAUGGGAGUCGGAAAUGCCCGAAGUCGGUGACCCAACCGUUUACGGAGGGAGCUGCCGAAGGCAGGUCUGGUGACUGGGGUGAAGUCGUAACAAGGUAAC